CUCUAGUUGACUCCUAUGACUGAAAGGAGUAAAAAAAUUCUAGGAUUCUACGUUAUCUUCAAAAUUUCUUACACCAAAAUUAUUAAGUUUGAACGCAUUUAGAUUAUACAUAAGAAAUAUUCCUCUUUUUUCCUUCAAAAAAUUCAAUCAUUUCUUCUUUGCCCACACAAUCAAAUAAUAUGCAUAAAGGUAUGAUCUUCCAAUCUUUUCUUCAUCUCUUUUCCACUGUCUGCCCUUGCCAGCACUGCAGUAUCACUUUCAGAUCUCCAGGCAUCACCCACUGUACACACUGUAUUCCAUAACCUCAGGAAAAUGAUCCAUAUCUGCCAUGCAAAUCUGCAAUGAAUAAACAAGUGGUUCACGGUCUCCAUUUCUUCCACAGAUGAACUGUAUCUGCUAAAUAAAAGCCAAGAAUGUCUCGAACAAGAACUCUUUAAAAUGUCUUAAGAAUAGCAAAUACCCUCAAAGUUCAAAUUAUAUAAACGGAUUCUACUACACAUCAUUUACAGCCCCUCUAGUUUUAUACCAACGGAACCAAUAAACUAAAAUAUGAGCAUCUGUGUUUGCUUCAAUCAGUGCUUAACAUUCUACAGGACAUACUAUCAUGAAUCAAUCAAUCACUACAUAAGCAACUGCUAUACCUCUGCACAAGCAGCUAUCAUGAUAAACGAACCUUUUAAAGAACUCAGCAACAAUAUAUAACAGAAUAUUAAGCUUUUACCCAUUAUGUUUUAUGGUGCCUGACAAUUUCCGUUUAUGCUAGAUAACCAUCUAGAAAAGAAGCUGCAUAAGAUCGCGCCUGGCAAACUCACUGCUAAGCAUCGUACAAGGCUACAAGCUACUACGAAAGUACAAGCUAGCAAGAACUAUCUAGCAAUAUACAGUGAAAAACUACAUCAAUUCUCCUCAAGGACAUCACUAACUUUUGGACCAUCUCAAGCAGGGAAGUAUUAUCUUGAUAGGUUUGGCAAAAGGCCGACCACACGACUGAGAAACUUUAUUUUGCAUCAGAAACAGCAAAAGAACAGGAUCAGUUUUGUGAUCCACCCGCUGACUAAAGGCCUUUAUUGCUAAAACUGAGCCCCAAUGGUUAUCAUGCAUUUUAACCAGUAGAGGUGAAGUUGGUAUCGUUAUGGAUGACCUGCAAAGCAGCUUAAGUCCAAUGAUAUAAACUGCUAAGCAGGUGAAAGCAGACAUCACUGCUUGAAGACGGGAGGAGACAACCACAAUCGUAAUGCAGGAACGACGCCUAUCACACUCAAAUGCUCUUAAUGCAUUUAUGCAGAACCCCUAAAAAUAAUAAUGGUGAUGAUGAGAGAAAUAAAUGAAAAUAUGAUGCAUAAUCACUUGUUAAAUUCUUAAACAUAUACUUCACCAAAACAAUAAAUAAUUUUUUUGAUAACGUGGUGUUGGGGCCAGCUUGCGCGCACCUUGACUAAAUACAUACGGUACCUGUUGCUUCCCACCAGCACAGAUACCGGGUGCUCCGUCUACUAGGGCUUAAAUAGAUGGGAAGAAAUCACCUAGUGUUUUUGCCUCUGCUGAGAACCAAAACAAUAAAUAAUUGUAAUGACUAUUAUCAUCAUUUAAAUCCAUCUCCCAAUUUGUUUGAUACUAUUUCCUUUUUCCCUCCCAAAGAUUGGCAUCUCUCUAUAAUUAGAAACCAAUUAACUUUUAUUCCCAUUUUGUGAUUGACAUGCUUGUUGUAGGCUACAGUGCCCCCACUGAGAUGAAUUACUUGGUAUGACAAUACCUUUGGUACUUUAUUUAUAUCUAACUUAAGUGUGAAAGUCAUCCUUUCUUUCUUAAUCUUCGUGUCUAAUACAAAUUGGGGACACGGGGAAUAUUUAUUAUUGCUAUCCCAAACUCUUCAAAAUCUAAUAGAAAUCGAAAAACUGAGCCGGAAAUAACAACAAUACCCAUACAUAUUUUGGAAAUAGAUGCAUUCAGAAGGACAUGAUCAACACUUUAUAUACUAAUAAAUUACAAUGUUGGUGCCCCAAAGUUUUCCAUGAAAUUUAGUUUUAGGAAAUUAUUAACUAGAAUAGUCAGAGUUCCAGAUAGAUGCCACAACAUGCCAAAGAUAUUACAACAACAACAACAACCCAGUAAAAUUCCACUAAUGGGGUCUGGGUAGGGUAGUGUGUACGCAGACCUUACCCCUACCCCGAAGGAGUAGAGAGGCUGUUUCCGAAAGACCC
This 2201-nucleotide long non-coding RNA is filed under the name Nicotiana tabacum (common tobacco). RNAcentral's name for it is "long non-coding RNA (NTAB_LNC015087)". The record is from RNAcentral. Lineage: Eukaryota; Viridiplantae; Streptophyta; Magnoliopsida; Solanales; Solanaceae.